UAACUGAAGAGUUUGAUCAUGGCUCAGAUUGAACGCUGGCGGCAGGCUUAACACAUGCAAGUCGAGCGGGGGAAGGUAGCUUGCUACUGGACCUAGCGGCGGACGGGUGAGUAAUGCUUAGGAAUCUGCCUAUUAGUGGGGGACAACAUCUCGAAAGGGAUGCUAAUACCGCAUACGUCCUACGGGAGAAAGCAGGGGAUCUUCGGACCUUGCGCUAAUAGAUGAGCCUAAGUCGGAUUAGCUAGUUGGUGGGGUAAAGGCCUACCAAGGCGACGAUCUGUAGCGGGUCUGAGAGGAUGAUCCGCCACACUGGGACUGAGACACGGCCCAGACUCCUACGGGAGGCAGCAGUGGGGAAUAUUGGACAAUGGGGGGAACCCUGAUCCAGCCAUGCCGCGUGUGUGAAGAAGGCCUUAUGGUUGUAAAGCACUUUAAGCGAGGAGGAGGCUACUUUAGUUAAUACCUAGAGAUAGUGGACGUUACUCGCAGAAUAAGCACCGGCUAACUCUGUGCCAGCAGCCGCGGUAAUACAGAGGGUGCGAGCGUUAAUCGGAUUUACUGGGCGUAAAGCGUGCGUAGGCGGCUUAUUAAGUCGGAUGUGAAAUCCCCGAGCUUAACUUGGGAAUUGCAUUCGAUACUGGUGAGCUAGAGUAUGGGAGAGGAUGGUAGAAUUCCAGGUGUAGCGGUGAAAUGCGUAGAGAUCUGGAGGAAUACCGAUGGCGAAGGCAGCCAUCUGGCCUAAUACUGACGCUGAGGUACGAAAGCAUGGGGAGCAAACAGGAUUAGAUACCCUGGUAGUCCAUGCCGUAAACGAUGUCUACUAGCCGUUGGGGCCUUUGAGGCUUUAGUGGCGCAGCUAACGCGAUAAGUAGACCGCCUGGGGAGUACGGUCGCAAGACUAAAACUCAAAUGAAUUGACG
RNAcentral lists this ribosomal RNA (920 nucleotides) under Acinetobacter baumannii. RNAcentral's name for it is "bacterial SSU rRNA". It matches the Rfam family "Bacterial small subunit ribosomal RNA", at positions 1 to 915 of the family's 1533-position model. Lineage: Bacteria; Pseudomonadati; Pseudomonadota; Gammaproteobacteria; Moraxellales; Moraxellaceae. The record is from RNAcentral.